This 5612-nucleotide small RNA is filed under the name Arabidopsis thaliana (thale cress). Its description in RNAcentral is "ATSL276730". The record is from RNAcentral. Lineage: Eukaryota; Viridiplantae; Streptophyta; Magnoliopsida; Brassicales; Brassicaceae.
UAGUCUAUAGUCUUAGGCCCAAUUGUGACCUUUUUGGGAGGUGGUACAGCCACUUUUGUUAGACACCCCCACACUUUUAGGUAUUUGUACGAGGGUACUGUACCUUUCCAAAGUUAAUGUGGUGACUUUGCAGUCACCUUAUGUGGUAUCCUAUUAAGGAUGUAGUUAGUGGUAAGCAAAGUUUUCCCCCACAUGUUCUGGGUUGAUAAUAGGUUUUUAGUCAAUUAUCCUAAAACACCAAUCAUGUCGUUGUAGUAUUUUAGGUAUCAAUCCAAAUGGGUGUGAUGCUAACAAUCAAGAUGUGAUCAGAAGUCACUAAGUCAAGCCAAGCAAUAACAGAUUUUGGUGUGUCCUAGCAGUCCUAAGUGAACAUGCAGAAAACAGAAAAUCAAGUAGAAACAAUAAAACACUCGACCAACACAGCUCGAUGCAGCUCAACACAGGGUGUGGUCGAGUGACAGGUCGAGUAACGGACAGAAAAUGUAACAGGGAUACUUGACUGCAGAGUCUGUUGCCAGAUAACUGGGUGGUCGAGUAUCAGGUCGAGUAACAGCAAAGAAUUGCAGGGACUAAGCAACAGAUGACAAGAUGCAGUAAACAACGGUAGAGUAAAAAAUAAAAUUAAUCAGAUAAAGAAUUCUCGAGGAUGGGGUAAUUGAGUAGUUUUGUUUCCUCAGUUUACAGGUGAUUGACAUGGCUCAAUAAAUUAUCCCUACACAACAAGUUCAUUAACCAAAUCUAAGUACCACCGCAACAGAGACCCUCAAGUUAACCUAGUCCCAGACUCAAUCACCAUUGACGAGAGCUAACCUAACAGGCAUUACGAAUCAACAAGUUAAAGGCAAAACGCUCCCUGCAACCAAUACUUUGGUACAGGGACACGAAUCUCUGGAAUUAGUUGUUUAAACAUUUCAUCGAACACCUUUUGGGCGCGGAAAUGUCUGGGCUCAAAUUCUGGUUGAUCAGAAAGCAAUAGGCAUUAAGAACAACUAAUCCAGAAGGGAUCUAUCAAUCAAACUCAACCACCUAGCAUACUGAGAAUUCUAAACUACUCUAAUCCAUCCUCAGAAACCUAUUCACUACUGAGACAUCAUUGAAGAAAACAUAAACGUUGAAUGGAGUGAAAACAUGAUAACAACAAUGUAAUAGCAAGGUGAUAACAGGAUGAACAACAGUAAACGAAAUCAAGAACAAAUACCGAAUAUUUAAUACUGAAUAGAUAAAGAGAAAUCCGGAUUACAAAAGGUCAAGAACACAGUGUCUGCGAAAUAAAACUUAGAAAAAACUUGUUCUCGAAAAUGUAAAGUACGUGCUACUUAUAGCAAAAAUAUUCCGAAACCCUAAUACUCAAAACGACGCAGUAUUGAGACGGAUUAAGAACUGUACUCGACCCAGGUGGUCGAGUGAGAGGUCGAGUGAUAAGCUAGAAUCUUCUUUUUUUCCUUGUGCUCGAGUGUCUGGUUGAGUGCGGAAUGGAGAAGACUCUGAAGCUCGACAUCGAGUAUGUAGUCGAGUGGUGGUGAUGGUGAUACUCGACUUCCAGGUAGAGUCGUGUGAUCAAGUGAUGGUCAGGUGGUGGAGGUGAAGACACUCGACCUGGGGGUCGAGUGAAGUGAUCGAGUGACUCUCGUGGGGUACUCGGCCAGGGGGUCGAGUGAUGAGGUGAAGUGGUGAAAUCCUAUACUCGACCAGGUGGUCGAGUGGUGUGUUGAGGUCGUGAAGCGUCUACUCGACCUGAGGUCGAGUGGUUUGGCAUGAUCAGGUCCGCUUCUUCCAAUUAGUUCUUCAACAGCUCCGAAUCACUUGAAAACAACACAAAUAUGCCACAUGCAUGCAAAACUAUCCUAAACAUGCAAAGUGAUGACAAAUGAUGAGAAAUGGUAUAAAAUAGUGAUGAUAUGGUGCUAAAGUGAUGACAAAUGGAUGCUUAAAACAUGCAAAAUACACACUUAUCAACUCCCCCAAACUUAGUCUUUGCUUGCCCUCAAGCAAACAAUUAAGAACAAGCUAGAGGUGAGGUUUGAAAUCGGGGACUCAGAGCCAAAGCACUAGAUAAACCAAAUGAAAUCAAUGUCCAAGUUGAUAGUUCUAAGCUGCGAUAUGAUCGAAUUCUACUGAAAAACUUUAGCCAUGCCUUACUAUCAAUCAAUCCGACUCAUAUGCUCGACCUACACAUGUUUUCAAAUCUACCAAUCCCUUUAACAUUCAUUAGUUCUGGAACGUGAAUCAAGCAAUGCAUCAUCAAUGAACUCAUUUGGCUAAGGUAAAAGGUCAAGAGACAAAGAUGGUCCCUUACAGAAUAGGCUUCAGUAACAGGGGAUCUCUCAAAAAAUGAUUAAGCUUUAGUAGAAUGCUAAAGGUAAGUCCCAAGCUAUGCAUGCAGAGAUAAAAUCCCAUCUACCUAGAGUAUAUCAGAUGAAGCUUUAAUGGUAAUCCCAUCUCCAAUCCCAGUAUAAGAACUUACCUCUACCCUUUGCAUUCAUGAAUCCUUUAAGCCCUUUUUCUAAUCAUUCUUUUCUUUUCUCUUAACUCUAGGAAAAGCUUUCUCAACACUUUGAUACAUCUAGCGGAUUUGGAUUUCUUUAACAACUAAGGUUCCUGUUUUUAACAUUUUAAAACCGAGGGCUUUUGCCCAUCUUCAAUAGCUAACAAGAACUCUUUCUUUUUUUUACAAAUCCCAAAACCUUUACUAGACUUUUUCUGCUUCUUUAGCUUACUUCACCUAGAGUCUUUUACCUUUUCUCAUCAAUGAAUCAACCCCUUUUUUUUCUUUUAAACACAUCCCAACCUAAAGUAUAAGCGCCCACCCAGUCCUAUCUAGUCCAAAAAAUGCGAACUAGAACUACAUGAGACACUAUCUCUGUCGUUACGAACCUAACACUUUUUACCAAGCUGAAUCGGAAUAAGACCUCACAAACCCUCACGAGUGAUAUAAGGCUUGAAAAAAAGUCUAGGUUUGGGUUCGGGUUAACUGCUCUAAUAAGGAGAGUCAGCUACUUGGAUUAACAAGAGUGAUCAAAAUGAAUAAGAAAAUCCAAGUAUUUUAGGGUAUCCAUGAGUUCAAAUUUGAUGCAGACAUGAUAAUUAAAGAUCAAAUUCAGGUUCAAAUUGAUAGGGAAUGGUAUCAGAUCAUGACAGUGUGGUCGAGUAGAGCAAUCUAGGCAUGGUUCAGUUUUCUUUCAAAUUCAUUCACUACGCAACACACAACUAACAACGAGGGCACUGAGUUAAUCCGGUGAACCAAAAUGCUUACAAGGCUAUCUCAUCAUUAUCCCCUAUGCAUAUGCAACAAUCCUAAAUGAAACACUCUAGACUUGAUCCUAAAUGUAAUGCAACUACAUGAACACUCUUUUUUUGUGAAAUCAUUUUCUGAAAUUUUUAAUUUUUUUUUGGUUUUUCUAUGCCUUAGAUGAAUGCAGACUUAAAAAUAUAUACAAUGCAACAUACUUCCUGAGCCCUCCCCCAAACUUAAAUCACACAGUCCACUGUGUGAAUAAACUUGGAAGAGAGUACUCAGGACAAAUCCAAUCACUGAAACAAAAUAAAGAACAAAUCACAAGAGAUGAUAUAAUAUAAUGGUGAAGUGAGGCGCUUACCUCAGUCGAAUAAUGAACGAAGUUGGUAGUCAAUGGCUGCCUGUGAUUGCUCCCAAGCCAUAGACGAACCGCCAUGUUCCGUAUCAGCUCCAGCAUGUGGGUACUCGAUCUCAUCAGCUCUGUGGCGGCCAGCACCGCUCUGAGGAUACUCGACCUCUCUUCUUCUAUUGCGGCCAGCACCGCGGUCGCGUAAACUACGAGACUGCAGAAGUCGUCUGCUCCUGCUGCUAGAUCGAGUGAGUGUCGUUCUCCUAUUCUUCCUAGAUUCACGAGGCUCGAAUGAUGAAUGCCUCGCAGGGACAUGCAGAAUCUUCUGCUCUCUAGGCUCGGGCGCGUCAUAUCUCCUCGAAGGCAUGUCCUGAGGGAGCUGUCAUUGCGGAAUAGUUGUAGUGGAAGAGGAGCAGCUGAUCUUGUCCUUCAGAAACUUGAUAGCCCUGAGGCACUUGGCGAGUAACUUAUCCUGUUUCUUGCACCACUUCUGCAGCUUGCUGUUGUUCCUGUGAGCUUCGCUCAAACUCUUGCUUUUCCUCGCUGGAGGUAUAUGCUCACUGAAAUGAUACAUGCUCGUGUCAAACUCCGCCUCAUCUAUAUCAUAUGUCUCAUCAACAUCUUCUAUUGUAGCUCCUUCGGUGUGACUAAUCUCCUCAGUUGGCGGACUGCCCUCGAAAUAAAGAUCUUCAAGCGCAGGCUUGAAGUCAAUGUUCCUGCCCUCGAGAAUCCUAGUAGCGUAAAUGCAGGGGAAAAGAAUGUUGGCGAUUCUAAUCGAUGAAUGCUCGAACCUGUAGCGGUGAAAGUCGCCAACCAUGUCAAACUCAGAGAACUCACAUCGGCGCAAGUGAUCCAAGUCCAUCAUUCUCGGUGCUAACCCUACUUCCUUGAGCGGAACUCCACAAACUUUCAGAAUUGGCGUCACAACGCCACCCACGCAUAGUGCUCCUCUUACCUUCUUCUUGCCGUUUGUCAGCGCCCACUUCAUGUACCCACACAGAUGGAUCAACAGAGGCAUUACUGGUGGUGAGUCGUUAAGAUCUCCUCUCAGGACAUUCUUUCCUUUUGUAAGGCGGAGAAUCCCUAUAAGCGCUGAAUCUAUCAUCUUCAUGUCUGUGUUAGACACGGUGCCUGUAGACUCCCUGGAGUAAAAAACAUUGGCAACCGAGCGCUGAAAGUAGCGAAUCACAGGACUCCGGAUUUGGUUGCUCUUGGACCGCGUCGAGUUUAGCGGUAGAUUGUUCCCAAUAGUAGCCCACAAAUCCUUAAGCUCUUCCCUGUCAAACCUGGGGUUGGUUCCCUUUCCACUAGGGAAACCAAACAGUUCUUCCAAUUUCUUGAUCUAAAUCUGGUACCGCUGUUCAUCCACUAAGAACGUCAAGAAGCCUAACCCCAUGGUAUCCAGCUCAAAGUCUGUGAGUCCCUCAUACAUUUCCACUUGCAGUGUGGAAAGAAACUCGAUUGUCUCCUCCUUAUCAGAUGACACUUCUCGAACAGAUGCUGCACGUCCUCCAGUAACCCCAACUGGGCUAAAGUCUCAUAUCAGGGAUACCUCGUUCCCCAGAAGUCAUUCAUCUCAAAGAAUCUGAUAUACUCCUCCACUGUAACCUCGUCGGAUUUGUUCAGUAGCUUCGUCUCCUUGCGCCAUGACUCUGGCUCAUACUCAGUUUUGAUAUCCUCAUCAAUCAGCUCAUAUCUACUCGACAUCGCCCUCUUUCCUCUAGCGAUUUCAGCUCUUCUUUGAUUACGUCGAGCUGCAGAGCGUUCAAAUUCAUCCCUAUAGCUCUCGUAAACAUGUUGCUCUCACUCCGGUCUAGUGGACCAGGACUUAGCUUCAUCCACAUUAUAAUCAGGGUCCAUAGAGGAUUUUCCACUGUAGUUACUCAUGAUGAAACCUAAAAACAGACGAAACUCAAAGAUAAACGUUAAUAUGUUAGUAAUAGCAAAACCAAAAACACAAUCUAAACCAGCGUACCGGUCGAGUAAACCGGUUGAGUGAAACUGUCGGUUUUGACUUUUUUUUUCUUU